Non-coding RNA from Dama dama (fallow deer), 668 nucleotides. The record is from the annotation of a RefSeq genome assembly. NCBI's taxonomy places the organism in Eukaryota, Metazoa, Chordata, Mammalia, Artiodactyla, Cervidae.
AAAGAAGCAUUUCUUACUGGUAGUAGCUAGGAUUGCCUAGACAGGGAUCUCUUUAACUCUCAGAUUUUCCCGGUUACAAGGACUCAGCACACCCUGGCACAUUCCUUCCUGCUCCUCAAGGGAGAUCUUCCUCCCUCUGUAGCCAUGCUCUCAGUGACUCUUCUGCUACUUGGAAUGCUCUUCACAGCAAGAGGAACUGGAGCCCAGUUAGUGACCCAGCCUGAUGGUCACAUCAACGUCUCUGAAGGAAACCGUCUGGAGCUGAGAUGCAACUAUUCUUAUGGUGGAUCUAUUUAUCUCUUCUGGUAUGUCCAGUACCCCAGCCAAGGCCUCCAGUUGCUACUGAAGUAUUUACCAGGGCCCACCUGGGUUAAAGGCAUCAAAGGCUUCGAGGCUGAAUUCAAGAAGGAUGAAAACUCAUUCCACCUGAUGAAAGCUUCAGCUCAUUGGAGUGACUCUGCCAAGUACUUCUGUGCUCUGUGUGACACAGUGCCUGAGUCUGCAGGGGGAGCUGAACAAAAACCGUCUCAGACAUUGUAGCGUAAAACACUCAGGGUCUCAGCCUGACCUGGUUUUAGAGAGGUCUCUGCUCUGAUGAAAGUGAGCAGAAGGAGAAGCAGAGUCCUGGGGAGUGCGUGGUCCUGAGGAAAAACAAGGUUUUCAACGAG